This 3094-nucleotide small RNA is filed under the name Pan troglodytes (chimpanzee). RNAcentral's name for it is "retained intron". The record is from RNAcentral. Lineage: Eukaryota; Metazoa; Chordata; Mammalia; Primates; Hominidae.
ACAAAAUCUUCAAAAGUUGUGAUGGUUUAGAAGAUGUUUAUGCAAAGGUUUUUUUUUUUUUUUUUGAGACGGAGUCUCACUCUGUCACCCAGGCUGGAGUGCAGUGGCACUAUCUCGGCUCACUGCAACCUCCGCCUCCCAGGUUCAAGCAAUUCUCCUGCCUCAGCCUCCUGAGUAACUGGCAUUACAGGCACAUGCCACCAUGCCUGGCUAAUUUUUGUAUUUUUAGUAGAGACGGGUUUCACCAUGUUGGUCAGGCUGGUCUCAAACUCCUGACCUCGUGAUCCACCUGCCUUGGCCUCCCAAAGUGCUGGGAUUACAGGCAUGAGCUACUGCGCCCAGCUGCAGAGUUUUUAUUAGCACAAUUUCUGGCUCAUGUAAGCAUUCAGUGCAUGUUCUGUAAUUAUCAAUACAUGAAUGGGUGUGUUGAGCGCUUGUGUAGGGUUCUGUGCUAAGUUUAAUCUUAGUAUUUAAGCUGUGGUUCUAACAUUUUGGUGAGAAUUUGGCAUUUUCAAUGAAUUACUCAUGUAUCGUGAAUUGUUUGGUUUUUGUUUGUUUGUAUUAUUUUUUGCUUUUUGUCUUUAAAACUGAGCAUUUGCCUCUGUCAGUAAGGUAAUGUUCUCAAGUAAAUGGUUUCAGAAAAACAAUAUGGUAACAAGCCUCAAGAUAAUAACAACUACAAAUAUUUCAGCCGUCUACAAUAUAAGUAAAAUGAUUUUACCUAUUUGUUUAUAACUUUCGGUAGAAGCCAACAUGAGAUGUUUUAAUUUUUUUCCCCCAUCUUGCUAAAGGAAUGUAAUCAAAAAGGAAAUUCAUUAAUUUAAAUUUCUGAAGCGCUUAAUGUUCAGCCACCUGCCUGGGGAAUAAAAAUUAAUUAUAUUCUUAUUCAAAGGCAGCUUAUAAUUGUUUUUCAGUAGAACCAAAUUAUUGACUCGUUCCCAAAGCCCCUGCUGUUAACCUCUGAAUAGUUCAUUUCUGAUGGACAGCUGUGUUACAAGUUAAAUGCCUCUUCUGUGAUACUUCUACUGCAUUUGGAGUUAGAAUAUUCCAACUUCAUUUAAACUGAGAUAAUGUGUUCAUCUUAUGUUUCAUUUUGAACAUUUUCCCCUUUUUAUUAUGGAAAAUUCUGAAGUAUAAAGAAUACAACAUGUGCCCAGCACCUAGCCUCAAAAUGUGUCCAUCAUUAGGUUAUUUAUUUUUAAAACUAUUUGGUAGGUUUUUGUUUCGUUUUGUUUUUUUAAAUAUCUGGCUUGCCAUCUGUAUUUGUCAGUUAGUUUUCUUUGACUGUUAAAUUGACUGAACCUCCGAAAAGCGAAUUGUCAAAAUCUUCACUCUCAAGAUAAGUGAUAUUAUUUGGUUUUCGAUUUUUUAAUAAAAUCUUAAAGGCAAAUAAUUUUUCAUUUAAAGCUUUAAACUCCAAGCAAAAACUUAUUUUCUGCUGUCUUAUUCCAGUUUAACUUACAUGUGUAGAGCUGGAGCAAUUCGGACAGAUGAUAACUGUAUUGUAUUAAAGACAUUACCUUGUUUGGUUCGAAUGUGCAGUAAGGAGAGAUUACUAGAGGAGAGAGUUGAAGGAGCUGAGACACUUGCCUAUCUGAUUGAACCAGAUGUUGAGCUACAGAGAAUCGCUAGCAUAACUGAUCACCUCAUUGCCAUGCUUGCUGAUUAUUUCAAGUAUCCCAGCUCAGUGAGUGCCAUCACUGAUAUUAAAAGGCUUGAUCAUGAUUUAAAACAUGCUCACGAACUCCGCCAGGCUGCAUUCAAGCUCUAUGCCUCUCUUGGAGCAAAUGAUGAAGACAUCCGGAAGAAGGUGAGUCUGGGAGAGGGGCGUCCCCCAGUCCUGACAGCCAGCAGGCAGGGAGUGACGUCAACCUGAAAGUCGUGGUGAAGAGCACUAACAGUGACUGUUUGAAUAUAAUAAAGCAGAGUGACUAAAGGCAUAAUUGAAGAAUGAAUGGGACCCGGAUUUGGGGGGUUGUUUGUUUGUUUUUAGAACAUAGAGUGGCAUGGCCGUGCUGGAAUGACAAAUAACUGGCGUGCUUUUUUUUUUGUGUCAUUAAUAUGAAUUAUUAUGUUGCACAUUUUUGCAUGUGUUCUGAUAAAAAUCAAUUCUAGCACUGUGAAGCUUCAGACACCUUGAAAGUCCUAACAUUAGAAUUGUAAAUGUUAUUUAUGGAAAUACCUUCCAAUGCUAUUGAGAAAUUCAAAUCUCUAUUGUAUAUUGUUCUUUGAUAUGUGGCUUAGUUUUAUGUUUUGAUUUUUUUGCUACUGUGCAAGUUUAAUGUGAAUAAAAUCUUUGUGGAAUGAUGAUUUUAUGUUUAGUGAGUGGUCAUCUGAAUUUUCCAGCUCCCCAGAAAAUGUAUGCACUGGUAUAGCACCCUUAUGUUACUAAAGCCUAGUCUAACACUGAACUCAUGUUCUUGAUGAGAAUACUUCUAGAUGAGGAGUAUAGUGGUAAGUAAGCUCUGACUUGGCUCCUUCCACAAACCAAAAAGCUGGAACUUACCACUCAAAAACAUGUAUAAUAAAUUCUACACAAGGCUUUCAAGACCAUCAGAGAGCAAAACCACAUGUUCUGUCUUGAGGAGCCAUAGCAGAAAGAGCAAAUUAGUCAUUAUUUACUGAACAUGAUGAUUUACUAAAUCUCUCCAUCUGCAUUAGUAUUUUAAGGAGCACUGUGAGAGAAAUCACAAAGUAUUAGAGUUUACCAUGAUUCAGAGAAGUUCUUCAGGCCUGUAGAAAGAGGAGUAUGGAACAACCUUACAUUUGUUGAAAUAACUUGAAAAGGAACCAUUUCUUGAAGAAACUGAAGUAAUAGCAAUAAGAUUCGAUGUGUGAGUAGCUUUGAUUUAAAAUCAAUGCAAAAAGCACAACUAAUAAAUUGAAUGUUUCCAUGUACCUCACUUUAUUUCAGUUAACAAGAUAUUUUGACUUGAAGUGUUUUUAGUGUAUCCCUAUGAAAAUCAUUUUUGGUACAUCUAAGUUUUCAUUUAUAAACUGUUAUUUCAAAGCAAACAUACUAGUGAUAUAUAUAUGAUUUAUGGAUGUUGACGCCAAUGUUCAGUUUGGGUACGUUGGUGUAUUGCAAGGGGAG